AAAACUUUUUACUCAUGCUUUUGAUAAAUGCUAUUUUUGGUUUGAAAAAUAAUUGAUAUAUUGCUGAAAUAAAUGAUUCAUAAAAGUAUUUCUGUUAAAAUCGACUCUUGAUGAAUGUAUCUUUUGGCCUGAAUAAUGGUCGUUAUAUUCGACUUUUGGUUGACUUGUUAUAUAUUAAUGUUUGAUAUUUUUUAAUAUGUUUUCUA
Molecule: long non-coding RNA, 206 nt
Filed under: Nicotiana benthamiana
Lineage: Eukaryota; Viridiplantae; Streptophyta; Magnoliopsida; Solanales; Solanaceae
Description: long non-coding RNA (NBEN_LNC000192)
Source: RNAcentral